Molecule: unclassified non-coding RNA, 217 nt
Filed under: Scolecitrichidae sp. 2012JH109
Lineage: Eukaryota; Metazoa; Arthropoda; Copepoda; Calanoida; Scolecitrichidae
Description: partial ITS2
Source: RNAcentral
UGAACAUCCAUCGGACAGUCCGUGUACGGACAGUCUGCACCGGGUUCUCACAUUCUGCCUCUCGGUGGAUGUGGUGCCUCAGAGUAUGCUGUGCAGAGUUUGCAACGACUCAACUCUUGGACCUCAACAGUCUGGGUUGGCCUGUCUGCAGGCUGCACAUGUCUGGUGCCAGUGCUCUCUCUAUCCAGCCUGGUGCAUCGACAAAUAAACCUCACUU